This 187-nucleotide long non-coding RNA is filed under the name Mustela putorius furo (domestic ferret). RNAcentral's name for it is "lncRNA (ENSMPUG00000031945.1)". Lineage: Eukaryota; Metazoa; Chordata; Mammalia; Carnivora; Mustelidae. The record is from RNAcentral.
CUGAAAAAGAACUUUGUUCUUUUAUUUUUUUUCUAAAUCUAAGAAUAUUAUCUUCUUUUAUGUCAGAAUACUAAGAACAUAAUGGAUAUAUAUAAAUUGGAAAAGAAGAUUGAGGAAUUGUCUAAAACUGAGACAGAGCAUCAAAUGCAGUUACAUACAUAUGAGAACACUUUGCUUAAUAAAGAUG